RNAcentral lists this ribosomal RNA (433 nucleotides) under uncultured bacterium. RNAcentral's name for it is "partial 16S ribosomal RNA". It matches the Rfam family "Bacterial small subunit ribosomal RNA", at positions 29 to 507 of the family's 1533-position model. The record is from RNAcentral.
AACGAACGCUGGCGGCAUGCCUAACACAUGCAAGUCGAACGAGUCCUUCGGGCUUAGUGGCGCACGCGUCCGUAGCGCGUGGGAACCUGCCCUUAAGUUCGGAAUAACUCCCCGAAUGGGGUCCUAAUACGGGAUCAUGUCUUCGGACCAAAGAUUUAUCGCCUUUGAAUGGGCCUGCGUUGUAUUACCUAGUUGUUAGGCUAAAACCCUCCCAAGGGUAGGUUACGUAGCUGGUAUGAGAGGAUGGUCAGCCACACUGGGGCUGGGAAACGGCCCAGAAUCCUAGGGGAGGCAGCAGUGGGGGAUAUUGGCAAAUGGGCGAAAGGAUGAACCAGCAAUGACGGGUGAGUGAUGAAGGCCUUAGGGUUGUAAAGCUAUUUUACCCGGGAUGAUAAUGACAGUACCGGGAGAAUAAGCUCCGGCUAACUCCGUG